GGAGGUAGUGACAAUAAAUCACAAUGCGGGACUGUUAGUCUUGCAAUUGGAUUGAGAACAACGUACAACUCUUAUCGAUAAGCCAUUGGAGGGCAAGUCUGGUGCCAGCAGCCGCGGUAAUUCCAGCUCCAAUAGCGUAUAUUAACGUUGUUGCAGUUAAAAAGCUCGUAGUUGAAGUGAGGGAGUGUGUGGGUAUGAGAGCUAGUCUCAAGUACUCACAACCUCCCCCUUCCAAUCGGUGUAGUGGGGUAUUCACUUAUUCCACUACUCCUUUGGUCGUUUACUGUGAGAAAAUUAGAGUGUUCAAAGCGGGCGUUUGUUUGAAUAGAUUAGCAUGGAAUAAUGAUUGAAGGCUUUCGUGUUCGAUUUGAUUGGUUUGUUCAUGGAAGCAAGGUUAAAAGGAACAGUUGGGGGUAUUCAUAUUCACUAGUUAGAGGUGAAAUUCUCGGAUUUAUGGAAGAUGAACAAGUGCGAAAGCA
Molecule: ribosomal RNA, 479 nt
Filed under: Blastocystis sp.
Lineage: Eukaryota; Bigyra; Opalinata; Blastocystidae
Description: SSU rRNA
Rfam family: Eukaryotic small subunit ribosomal RNA
Source: RNAcentral